GUGGGUGGACAGGCUCCCUGCUUGUGCAGCGAACUGUUUUACGUACGUAUCUUCAUGUUAGUCUCAAUUGCCUUGAUUUUGCACAUUGGGCUACCUUUGGUUUCUGUGUUGGUUACCUACUCGGAAGGAAAUUGUCCCAUAUCUUUGUAUCACAUUGCCGUGAACCCCUUUAUGGGAUGCUCGGUUUUGUCAAUAGUUUGCUUAUUCCAUUUUCACUCUCUACUACAAUGUAGUGGUGACAUGGCCUAUGCAAAAAAACUAUUCGUACUCGUGGAUGCAGAACAUUGUAGCGGGUAAUUGGGUCACUACCCUUUUAGCCCAAGCAGAGCUUUUUAUGCUCGGCAUGUACGACAGCUGUGAUUGCGUUGACCUUCCCAACUUUUUUGAUGGGAGGGCUCAU
This 400-nucleotide unclassified non-coding RNA is filed under the name Rodgersia podophylla. RNAcentral describes it as "partial external transcribed spacer". The record is from RNAcentral. Lineage: Eukaryota; Viridiplantae; Streptophyta; Magnoliopsida; Saxifragales; Saxifragaceae.